RNAcentral lists this unclassified non-coding RNA (1718 nucleotides) under Hevea brasiliensis (rubber tree). Lineage: Eukaryota; Viridiplantae; Streptophyta; Magnoliopsida; Malpighiales; Euphorbiaceae. The record is from RNAcentral.
UGAGAGUGAGAGUGAGAGUGAGAGCAUGAUCCAGAUCCACCGUGAGCAUGAUGAUGCUCCUCAUGAAAGAAAAUCAAACCAACUACAUUCACUACAAGCCCUCCAAUUGACACAGUUAAUAAACUAUUAGUUGAUAUCUCUUGUGGAUCCAAAAUUCUCUCAAAUGACUCCAAAACAAUUAGUGCCCCAACGAGAACCAGGAAAACAGCAUUAACAUAUCCUGACAGAACCUCAACCCUUCCCCGUCCAUAGUUGAACUGACUAUUUGCAGGCAAACGUGAAAUAUAAGAAGCAUAUAGACCUAUUGCCAAAGCAGCACAAUCAAACAACAUGUGACAAGCAUCCGAAAUCAAUCCAAGACUGUUACUCAUGAACCCAGCAACAAAUUCAACAACCAUGUAACCAGUGUUAAUCAGAAGAAAAAGUGCAAUCUUGCGAGAUUUUCUCUCACUCAAAAUGUGGCGGAUUGGCUUCAUAAUCGAAGUACUAAGUGGUUCUGGUGAUUCCAAUCCUAGUUCAAGGUAAUUUGAAUAGAAAGGAUCCAACUUCCUAACACCAAAAUACAAUAACAAACCACAUAACAAAAGACCCCAAAGUGACAGCUCCGGGAAGUAGAAUAGCUCCAAAACAAUAGUGCAAACAAAUGUAACAAAAAACUCUCUGUGGAAGUCUUUAGAAGACACUAGCUUGUCUUCACUAUAAUUCUCACUCAACAGCACUCCAAAAACAACAGUAUUAGCCAAUGGCCAACCAAAAUUCCCAAUAGAAACACCAGCCUUAUCUCUUUCAAACAACAUAAAACUCACAACAGCAGGAAUAAACAGCAAAACUGUUGUAUAAAACAAUGAAAUCAAGCGAAUUCGUUUCUGACACAAUUGCCUAAUUGUACCCGAAUUCAAUGAAACACGUUCAUAACAACCCAAAAACCCAGAUAAAAACGGCAACAACAUGGGCGAAAUCCUAAAACAAUUCUGCCUGGGAAACACCGAAAAUCCAUGUCUAACAAUGAAGGAAGUUGAUAAUGGAAAACAAUCAAUCCGAUCCCAACUUAUUGACAACAGAAACAUCCCAAGAAAAAGAGCCAAAAAUCCAGAUAACUUAUUACCAUUAUGAUUCCCAUAUCGACUAGCACCAACACUACGCUUUUUCACCUCAACAAGGAAUCGAGCAGUAACGUUUCCAGACAAUUCAGCGAGAAUCAUAGCUGCAGUUCCACAAUAACGAAGUGCUUGAAAUCUAAGGAGGAAAACAACAGCAAGGAGCAGAGAUUUCGAUAGCAAGAGCUUGUGCUGGGAUUGGGAAAUUGAGGAGAGUGAGAAAAUGGGUUGGUUAGGAUUCCUGAAGUGAAAAGGGGUUUUAGGGGAAGGAGAGGAGAUGAGAGAGAAAGCGAGAGAAAGAAGAAAGGAAAGUAAAGAGACAAGGAAAGAGAGAGGGAAGAGAGAAAAAGAAGGAGAUGAUCGAAGGAAAGGGAGGAGAGAGUAGAGGGAGCGAAGAGAGAAGAGAAGGAGAAAUAGAAAAGGAAGGGAAGAUUUAGAGGAGGAAGAGGAUUUCGAGGGAAGGGAAAGAGAAGAAAGGCGUUGUUUUGAUGGGGUUGGAGUCGGGGUUGUAGAGGAAUACGAAUAAACAGGGUAGGGUCUGGACAAUGAGGUGGUGAUGGUAGAGGAAGCGGGGGAGAAGGUAGAUUCGCGUGGAGGGACGGAGAUGCGGUGAGGGCGGUG